RNAcentral lists this unclassified non-coding RNA (4551 nucleotides) under Neodiprion pinetum (white pine sawfly). RNAcentral's name for it is "janus kinase and microtubule-interacting protein 3, transcript variant X3". The record is from RNAcentral. Lineage: Eukaryota; Metazoa; Arthropoda; Insecta; Hymenoptera; Diprionidae.
CCAACGGACCGCCUGAUUUCGAUAGAAAAUGACCACGAACCCCUCAGCGGGAGACACCGUCAUCCCGACGAAGACGAGUAUAACAACGAAUGUAGCCAGGGAUCGGUUGAUCCCUGGUAAAACCGAGUGUCUCUUUGCCCGGGCAGAAUCGACACCCGCGGCGAGGAAGAGACACCUGGAACAGUCGAGUUCUCCGACAAAGGGUGAGAUACCGACCAAGUCACCGAGGAAGAGCGAGCCUUCGGCGGAAGUGGUGGCGAGAGACCUGCAGGAUUCGCUCGACGAAGCGAACAUGUGCGUCGCGAGUGCGGAGGAUCAAAAACGAGCGCCGUCCUGCGCUACGGAAUCGCGACCGGAAGUACCGAGAGACAAACCGUCGAUACGGAGUCUCAGAAAACGCCAGGAUGAAGGAAAAACCCAACCACCAGCAGCAGCGAAACGCGAGAAAAAUGAGACGCGGCUGAUCCCAAGGUCACAGAUUCCCUGCAGGAGCCUGAAGAGGUCGUCGGAGGAGAUUCCCGAGGGCGGAAAGUCACACCGAAAGAGUCGCGCCGACGGCGUUUCGCCGCGGGAACCGGAAGUUGAAACCCCGAAAUCCGAAACGACGAUCACAGGUCAUCCUCACUGCAGGACGCAAACGCAUCAGCAGUUACAGAAGAGAGACGAGGCUGUGAAGCUGAGAAAAACUAUACAGUGGCUUGAGGAAGGCGCUCGCAGGAUGAGGGAGGACCUCGCAGCGACUCGCGCCGAACUUCACGAGGAACGGAAGGCCGCGAGGUUGGCCAGGAGGGAACUCGACUCCGCUGUCAAGGACGCGAGGAACGGCGAGGCUGCCAGGCACCUUCGGAUCAUCGCCGAGCUCAAAACGAGAUUGGCGCAAUCGCCGACGCGCACCGGCGUCGAAACCGCGUCGACAUCUUCAAAGGCGGACAUAUUACGGGAGGAAAAUCAUCGCCGAGAAUUGUCAGCCCUGAGAAGACGCCUGGCGGAAGCUGAAGCGUCUGUCCAAAAGCUCAAGGCGAACGCGUGCAGUCCUCACGGUUCGGGAAAGCGGAGAAAAGUCGAGGGCGCCGACGGUCGACGGCUGGAAGUCGAGGUCCAGGCGUUGAGGACCGCGAACCGAAAUCUGGAGGAACGUCUGCAGGUCGUCACAGAAGCGGAAAAGACGCGGGCGACCGAGCUGCGGAUUCAGCACGAGAACCACGAGGCUCAGCUCGCUGCUCUGCAGAGGACGUUGCGCAGCGACACGAUAAAAAUGAUGGACGAGAUUCGAAGCAAGACGAGAGAGGUCGAAAAGCUGGAAAAGCUCGCGUUGGAGAGUUCGCAGAUGCACCGAAAAUUGCGGACGAAGGAAGACGACCUGAUGCGAAAGUUGCGCGAGACGGAACGAAGUAAUCAGGUUCGUCUGGCGCCCCGCAUAGAAGAUAAAAAUUCAACGAGCACCGAGCAUGUCGAGGACUCGUGCACCGGGGACUGUGAGGCUGCGGCCGAGGUCGAGAGGCUUCGAGAACUCAGUGUUGAGCAGCAGGAGGUCAUUGAGAUUCUCAGGCAGGCAGUCAAGGAGAAAGAACGGAAGCUCGACCAGAUCUCGAACAAGAAACGAAAGGAGGAGUUCUACAAACAGUGGCUCGAACUCGAGCCCGUUGUAGAAGUCGAGGACGAAGACGAACACGAACACGAGGAGGGUGACAGCGCUCUGUCCAGCGCUCCGUCGUCGCUGUCACCCCAGCCAGGGGGAUGUGGACAGUGGCAGCACACAGGCGUUACCAGGGAAGCGUACGAGACGGUUCUCCUCGAGGUCGAGGAACUCCAGAGCAGACUCGUCGAGGAACAGCGGGAACUUGCUCACGCCAAGAGCCAGGUUCGCGACCUGGAGAAGGCCCUGCUUCAGGAGACAAGGGGAAGUCAGAACAGCAGACGAGCCCUGAGCGACAAACUCCGGGAGAUCGAGGACCGGGAGGCGACUUUGGUCGCUGAGAUCUCGGAACUCCGAGAGCAGAACGAGCUUCUCGAAUUUCGCGUUCUCGAACUGGAGGAGUCGCCCUGUCUCCGGGACACGCCUGAUCCGGCCGACAGCGGUAUCGUCUCACCAGAGCCGAUUCACCUCUACAAGGACCAGCUCGGUAAGCAGAAGGACCGCGCCGUAGCGACCAUAAUUCCUUACAACACGUACAAUAGCCCAGCUUCGCCGAUACCUCAAAAGCCGCCGUUGUCCCUUCAGGAGAGCGGGAUCUUCGACGAGGACGAUGAAGCGGAUGUGGAGCUGGCGAGUCGGGGAACGCAGACGGAAACCCCGGCCGGUGAUCUUCUGCAGGAAGUCCAACGGUUGCACGAGCUUCGGGCCCGGAUCCAGGAGCGGGCGGUCAAGGUUCCGGUUCCCGUGAUUGACGCGAAAUUGGACGUCGCCGAUGUCGCUGAUUCCGGACAGAACGCGAAUUCCUAUCUGGACCGCAUUCGCGAACUCGAACAGAGACUCGCCGAUCACGAGGAGGCAGAGAGCAAGCGAAACCAAGACAAACAACUGUCGAAACAGAGGGAGGAGGAGCUUUUGGACGAGAAUUACAGACUCACUGAGAGAAUAUACUGGUUCGAAAAUCUUCAUCGGAAUUCCAAGAACGUUGAGGAGGACUCGAAAGACGACUCCUCAAACGUGCGGGAGAACGACCUUACCCCGAAGAAUGGUGAGUCGCAUGUUUCCGAGGAACACGAAGACGCAUCAUCGGCCGGGAUGCGGAAUUCGGAAGCCGUUGAGGAGCCGCAACCGAUUUUGUCCACUUCUGCAUCCAACGAGGCUGGAAAGUCGAUGACCUUGGAGGAGCUUGACGUGGGCUGCAACGAGUGUGGGAAAAUGAGGUCUGAAGUGAUCGGCAGGCUGGAGGAGCUGGUGCAGGUCGAGCUGCUGACGAGACAACGCAUCGUCGAUCUUGAACGUCGGGAGGCGACGUAUAUGAAGACCUUGCAGAAGGCUGACGAGAUGUGGGUCGAGGCGGAGCGAGGCUACUCGAACCAGCUCCAAGAGCUUCGCGCCAAGCUUGAGCUUGAGCUCUUCGAAAAUCAGAAGCUCUCUCGCCACAUUGCCGAGCUAAAAGACAAGCUGAAGGAGAUCCGGACGAGUGGCGAUCUUGCGGAUCGUUGCGUCGAGUGCGUCAGAUGUCGCGGCUUGGUGAUGCCGGAAAUUUUAGUCUCGAAAGCGGAUCGAUCCUUUGACGAGGUUGACGCGACAGCUGGAAGCGGAGAAACCGAUGGAUAUUCAGCGUUGAAAAUUGAUCCAAAAUCGAAAAUUUGCAAUAACGUUACCGUGUCUGAAAUUUCUAACGUCGAGGCUGGAAGCGGUAAACGGGAUUCGACCUCUUCUAAACCACUUGUGAAUUCAAUGAUAGAGCAGGAUACGGCGAGAAAGGUGAAGGUUUCCAAGGUAUUCGUGCCCGAAAUCGUUGCAGAAUUGGCAACCGAGGCUAAGGAGGAAGAAGCGCCUGGGGAAGAGUCCGAUACUCGGAUUGAAAAUAGCGAGGGUUCAAUCCUGGAUGUCGCAGGAAAGGGUGAAGGAGUCGCUGAAGUGGUCCAGGAGAAUCCUUCGGGAAAGAACGAUACCGGAAUAGACGUAGUCGAAGGCGGAGAGGUUCAACCAGAGCCUGUAGUGACUAUUAACGAGACAGAACCUAAAAAGAAGGUAAUUUACUUCCGUUGGAGAUGAGGCCAAGCCGGGCCUUCUCCGUGGUGUGUCAGUCGAAUUCACGGCUUUCUCCCCGCGGAAGAGGACCUCGCGUUUUUCAACCUCGAGCUGUUCCUCCUGCGGAUGUUGACGAGAUGCUAUUUUCGAUCAGUUAAUAAGGACAAAUCCGCUGGCGCUACUUGGUGAGUCCAAGUGACGUACAGAGAUGGUACGUCCAUCGCCUCCUGAUUUUUACUCACUUAACUCGCUCAAUCGAUCAUUAUAAGUUAGUCAACUCCGAACCUAGCUGUUAAAAAUUUUCUUUUCGUUUUGUAGUAAUUAUCGUAAAUAAUUGCCCAGCUACUGGUCAUGUUUAUAGUUGAGCCACAGUAAAAGAUGGGACCAGCUGAUCCAUGUCCAUAUCAAUGUAUAAUAAACUGAAGUGCCUGUACGAACGCUUGGAUGUACGAAAGCGUUCGUUAAUUACUGUGAAAUGUCGCAUCGCUGUCAGCAAUGGAAUUUUCUGCACCGAUGCAAGUGCAACUGUACGUGAAAUCGAAAUGGAACCCACCGUUAUCAUCAUUGUAAUAGCCGCAGCGCGAUAAUCUAUCUAUCGCGGAUAAACUGAAUUGGCGUAAGAAACUGCGGUCAAUAGCAUUUGACAAUUGAUUUUCAUCUCACGAUAAUUUUACUCAAGAAAUUGUUGAUAAUUUUUGAUUUCCUCUUACAUCUCUCUGUUUUCAUUAUCCAGACACUCGAACGCGCCGAAAGAAUCAUAUUAUUAACGACGGACAAUAAUUUUUAUUCGACGAUUAAAAAUAUAUAAUCAACGUAGUAGGUAAUGUAAUACUUACAUAAAUAUUUGACGAAACGAUACGAAAAAAAAAAAAAAAAAAUAA